Non-coding RNA from Paramuricea clavata, 5027 nucleotides. NCBI's taxonomy places the organism in Eukaryota, Metazoa, Cnidaria, Anthozoa, Malacalcyonacea, Plexauridae. The record is from the annotation of a GenBank genome assembly.
AUGAAACGAUUGAUUGCUGUUUUUCAUAUCCGCCAUCGAACAAACGAGACGAAUCGCAAAUAAUCUAUCCUGCCUUUGCAUUUGCAUUUCUUCAGAAAGCGGCGAAUGCAACGAGGAGUUUGGACUCCUGCAUUCAAAGUCUUCUGAAAAGUCUCGCCCGACCAUCAUUACAACCUGCGCGCUGAGCAACAACAUUUUCCCGCAACACGAGUUCAUGUUGCCGUCGCGGUCCUUUGCCGGUACAGACUGACAGACAGGACCGAGAAGUUUAUGAAGAUUUCUGGGUGUAUUUGUACCAGGUAAAACAUUAUUUCUAGUAUACUUUCAUGCUUUCAUUAUACUGUUUCAUAAGUCGAAUAGAUUGUGUUAAUUUUGGGGCGAUAUAUUCUGUAUAGUUAUAAAUGAUUGAGUUGCCCCCACACCUUUAUGCCCAGGGCCAAAAGAAUGUUCGUGUAAAUGCUCCGCAGCCAUUUUUCUGCCCCCUUGUAUACUUAAGCUUCCUCAUAGAGCUCUUAUGCAUGGUUAUUAAACCUCUUCCUAAAAGAUGUUAUCGUACUUCUCACUACAUAAAUCUUAGAACAACUGAUACAUCUUAAUAAAUUACACCCUUUGAAUCACAAUCAAAGGAAUAAUUUAUCCAAUACUUAUUAUUUCCAUAUUCAAAUUUUUCCGUUUCCUCUACAUAACAGCAUAUCUGGCAUCUAGAUUUUCCGCACUUCUUCAUACUCUUAGCUUUACGUGUAUCAUGACUAAUUGAUGUGAUUAACAAGAUUAUAUAAAGGACAUGAGGCCAUUGACUUUGAUAUUCAUCGUUGAUGAAGGGGCACGCCCCAAAACGUUGGAGUAGUAGAAUAAUGUUGUAUAAUAGACGCGAUUGUGCUUUUAUACUGGACAAAGGUAGCUAUGAAUUUCAAUUUAUUAGUUCACUCCAAGCCUGCAUUUUUUAUAACAAUGGUGAUGCCCUUCCGCCAUUCAAUCAUGUUUCAGUCACAAUUGUUAAACGACCCUUUAUUGGUUAUUGCUUUCUCGUCUGCGGGAUCGUCGGGUCGUUAGGGGGACAGCUCGUUUAUAAUUUAGACACAAUAUUAUAACCACACUUGGAUAUCUUUUUAUAUAUUUUAUUAUUCUGUGCUGAUAUGCUUCCUUUCAAUACUGUUUCAAACUCUCUCUACAUCUAUUUUUGUUUUGACUCUACUCCAUUGCUCGACUCAUUUAAAGUUUCUCUUUGUUUCAGACACUUCAAGGGACAGAGGGGUAUAUCGACCCAUAAGCGCAGAAACAAGGAGUGUGAUAUUUGUGGCCAGUAAGUUGUUAUAAAUAGCUCCUGAAAUUUCCACUGCACAUUGAUUAACCGUUAGGGGGACAGCUCUUUUAUAAUUUAGACACAAUAUUAUAACGUAUUUGGAUAUCUUUUUAUAUAUUUUAUUAUUCUGUGCUGAUGUGCUUCCCUUUAGUACUGUGUCAAACUCUCUCUACAUCUGUUCUGCUCACCCUAUACAAUUACACUUACCAAUUGCUCGUUGUUGAUUGUUCGUUGUUGAUUGUUCGUUGUUGAUUGUUCAUUGUAAAACGCAUCCGGGUUACUCAAUAAUUAUAAAGUAUUUUAUAUAUGUGAAACGUAUAUUCAUUAAUUAAAAUGUUAAACGGGGAAUGCUUCAAUAACUGUUUUUAUUUUACACCAGCACUUAUCCAGGAGAAGAAAAAAUCAAAACCAUGGUGAAACAAUAAGUAAUAACUUGCCAUUAGUUCUAUAAAGUCUCGGGCGCUGAUUGUGCAGAAAUUUGAAUUUGCGGGGGUUUCGUCAUGUUUUGACCAACUUUUCCUAGGAUUUCAAAAAAAAAUUUCCGGACUAAUAUAAGAAUAUUCAAAAAAUUUUCGACCAAUACGAGCAAUGCUUCCGAUUUUUUCACCGCAAAUGUAACUGAAGCUUUAAAAUUGUUAAAAGUGCGAACCAAUUCAUUAGAAUUUUACCUUCAAUUUUUAUUGAAGGUACAUACAUGAAUGAGACAUUCACCAUUGUAACAAUUGACCAUUUGCGUAAUAGACUAAAUUUUGAUCUAAACAAGUCUAGACAAAAAUUUCAUCACAGCUUGAAGGAGCAUCACAAAAUUAGUAAUAUUCCAAAGUUUCUUUUGCAAAAUGUUGUAAAAUGCGGAAAAUAUAGCCUUGCGAAAUUUGCAAUUUUCAGUCAUUUUAGAUUACAAACGGGAAGUUGACAGCCCCAAACCCUUCGAGGCUGUCAAUUUCCGGUUUGUAAUCUAGAAUGACUGAAAAUUGCAAAUUUCGCAAGGCUAUAUUUUCCGCAUUUUACAACAUUUUGCAACGAAACUUUGGAAUAUUACUAAUUUUGUGAUGCUCCUUCAAGUUGUGAUGAAAUUUUUGUUCAGAUCAAAAUUUAGUCUAUUACGCAAAUGGUCAAUUAAAAACAGUAUUAAGUUAUUAAUUAACUUGGGUUUUUCCAUCACAAGAAGCGUUUACGGAAAGCGCUCGAGAUUUAUUUUGUAUUUAUUGUUCGAAUUUAAGCAUAUUUACGCGGUCGUUAUUUUAAUUUUCUUACAGACUGACACAGAAGUUCAAAAUACUUUUAAAAUUAUGGAAAAGGUAAUGUAUAACUGCAGAACACUGUAAAUGACUCAUAGCUCAAAGUUCGUCAGUUCUAACUUGACGUCCCGUCAUUGUUCUCACCUCCGGCGUUUAUGGUGAAAAAUCCAUGAAGGUUAAAAAAUCAAAAUAUUAAUGCAAUCUCGUCACACAUAUAGUUAAGCUAGGACAAAAAUGUUGCUUUAUCGCCACUAUUACACUUUCAGUAAACAUUAAAUUAAUUAGAUUUUCACUGUACAUUAACCACACACACUGAUCAAUUUUAGAUGUCAUGUUGCAUAAAAAGGUUAGAAAAGGACAAUGCAGUCCCUUGAACAAGAAGGUGCAAACCAUGUAACGAUUAACAAUAUUUAUAUUUUUAUGGUAGUGUAAUAUUUUUACGAGUGUGUAUUUACAUCCGGCAGGUUGAAAAAUUUGUCAAACGGCCCUACCCCGGUGGGAGUCGAACUAGUGGAGGACAGCCAGGCUUCUGAUCAGGAAGAUAGGCAGGUGUCGGAUCAGAUCAGGAGGAUAUGCAGGGUGAUCCAACUUUAUUUGAAAAUGGCGCCUAAACGGGAGGUUUUAGCGGCAAGUUGUUGUAAUUUUAUGUCUUGCCCUAGCGCGUGUAAACAAAUACAAUAGACCAGGGAGGGUCGCCCGGCCUUAAUUCAUGUAAGUAUUCUUUAUGCUUAAACUCGUUUUUCUGUAAAAUAUAGGACUUCGGGGAUGAUAAAAGAGAUGAGGCAGUAAGCACUUGCCAAUAAAAUAUAGGACUUCGGUGCAACUACAACGAAUCCGAUUGGCCAACAAGAUGAGCUGGUAAGCACUUUUCAAAUACUAAUGUGCAUCAUAAGAUUUUAGUUAGCCGAUGAAGAGGGAGUGUUAGAUAUUAUUGCUAUAGUACAUCACUGUAAAUCUGGUAGUGUUACUCCAAAACCAGAAAAGGUGUGAAUUCUUGCAGCUGUCUGGACACCAAUUUGGUGUUAAGUUACACUGAAUUUGAUGUCAAUGUAACCCUUUCGGUGUUGUGUAUCUCUACACAAUGAUCGUAAACUAACACUUCCAAAGGUCGUUGCAGUCCUUUUCAGUCUGUUGCAGUCCCAAGGAAGGGACUCCUUUAAUUAAAUAAUCGACAUCAUCUGUAUGAUUUUAGUUCUAUGACGUCAUCUUAAAGAUAAAAAUUGUGAAAUCUUGAUAAUUUUUUUAAUUUCGACCAUCGAAAACCAAAAAAGUUUCCGAUGAGUUUUUUUCAUUAGAUAUCUCUGAUGUUCUUUUAGACGUGUUUCCCAUGGUUUUUUUUUGUGGGGGGGAGGGGUUUGUGAGAUUUAUAUAUUUCAUUGGGAUUUUAAUUAACAAAAACUUGUAUAGAUGCUUGCGCCGGAUUCGGAAAUAUCACCGGUGCUUCGGGAAUAUGUCAGAACGGUUAUGAUGCUGAUUCCAAUGAAAUUUAAUUAUUGCUUUAGGAAUAUUAUCUCAAAAUAAUCGCGGAACUGCAAGCUCAUCGAAGAAAGAAAGCAAGAGACUUACAUAGAAAUGAAGAUACGAGAAGAAGUCUGUCAGGAAAUGGCGGAUCAGAUAGUGGAAAUUGAGAAAAAUUGCAAGUCAAUAGUACAAUUUCUUAUCGAAAUAAAUUUUCAAAUCUUCCGUUUAAAUAUUGAGAAAACGCACAGAUUAACUUAUUUUCUUCGUAUAGUUUAAAAUAAGUGUAAAAGUCUUUUGGACACUGAAACAUUUAUUUGCCAAUGAAUUUUUGUUGUAUUCUGUGGUGUAGAAUAAUAUGAAACUAGUUUCCCAAUUUACUUUGUACUUAAUUAGUAAGCUUUUGACUCGAUCAGGUUGAGUUGCGUCCUUCGUAAUUCACUGACAUCUGCUCUCAGCUGCAAGUAUUUUCAUUCCUUAAGAGUUAAGGAGCUGUUAACACAUUUGAGUGAGAUGAAUCGUAUCACGAACAUUUUCCCUGACCAUAAAAGAUCGUUUAAAUGAUUUUAAACUGUUACUGGAAUCAGACUAAGCUUACCAAACUCCAAAACAAAAAACUUGAAAAAUAGCAUCCGGUAUAGUGGAGCAAAACUUUGGAACAGCUUACCUUGCGAUUUAAGAAGUGCAGAUUCAUUAAAUCUAUUCAAUUCGUUGAUUUCUGAUACUAGCUUGGGGCCGUUGUAUCAUGAGCCGUUUAGCUUAAACGGGGAUAAGUCAAAAUUAAAUAACACUCUUAUAUCUUUCGUGAAUCAGUCAACUCAAAUGUUAUGCACUUAAUAUGUAGUUGUAAACAAAGUUUGGUUGUUGAAUGAAUCUAUAGGCUUGAUACAACUUUAUAUCUUUAUUUAUGUAACUGUGUAAUUUAAUAUGUAAAUUUCACUAUUGUAUAUAUUUUAUCAUCACGCCCCCCUUGGAAAUCAACAAAUGCUGAAUGGGUUAGCGUGUUUAAAUAAAGUUUUAUCUAUCCA